Molecule: ribosomal RNA, 426 nt
Filed under: bacterium Ellin516
Lineage: Bacteria; Pseudomonadati; Verrucomicrobiota; Verrucomicrobiia; Limisphaerales
Also listed under: 1 other name
Description: bacterial SSU rRNA
Rfam family: Bacterial small subunit ribosomal RNA
Source: RNAcentral
UCGAGAAUUUUUCACAAUGGGGGAAACCCUGAUGGAGCGACGCCGCGUGGGGGAUGAAUGGCUUCGGCCCGUAAACCCCUGUCAUUUGCGAACAAAUUGGUUCAAUUAAUAACUGAACCAUUGAUAGUAGCGAAAGAGGAAGGGACGGCUAACUCUGUGCCAGCAGCCGCGGUAAUACAGAGGUCCCAAGCGUUGUUCGGAUUCACUGGGCGUAAAGGGUGCGUAGGCGGUCGGGUAAGUCUGAUGUGAAAUCUCACAGCUUAACUGUGAAACUGCAUUGGAUACUAUUCGGCUUGAGAGUUGGAGGGGGGACUGGAAUUCUUGGUGUAGCAGUGAAAUGCGUAGAUAUCAAGAGGAACACCAGUGGCGAAGGCGAGUCCCUGGACAACUUCUGACGCUGAGGCACGAAAGCUAGGGGAGCAAACA